Molecule: non-coding RNA, 296 nt
Filed under: Trichobilharzia regenti
Lineage: Eukaryota; Metazoa; Platyhelminthes; Trematoda; Strigeidida; Schistosomatidae
Description: Eukaryotic large subunit ribosomal RNA
Rfam family: Eukaryotic large subunit ribosomal RNA
Source: Rfam by way of RNAcentral
GAAGACCAUGUCAGGCUGAAGGUUUGUCUGGGCGAUUCAUCUGAUAAAUAGUAGCCCAGGUGCCCUAUUGUGUCAUCAGUCAGAUCAGAAACUCUUUGCACAGUUGAAAGGGAAUAAAAGUUGCCACAAGGAUAAACUUUUUGGUGCUUGCUAAGUGUUCCUAGUGACAUUGUUUUUUGGCUUUCAAAAUUUCGGCUCUUCCUAUUAUUAUGAAGCCAAACUAAUCAAGCGUGCGGCUGUUCGCCGACUAAUAGGGGGCGUCAGCUUGGUUUAGACCGUCGUCAGCCAGGUUAGUU